UGAAAGAAAAAUCAAUUAAUGAGUGGAUUCGUGGCCUACUGGAGUAAAAAAAAAAAGCCCUGUUUGCUUCAAAGCAUCUCUCACCAUUCUGCCCUAUUCCUUGAGCUGAAAGCAACCCUCAGAAUAACUCAGAUUUCUGAGGGACAUACUUCUGCUGACAUGAAACAUCCCAUAUCCUUUUAGCAGCCUGUGGUAUUAUGAACAUUUUGGAAUCAAACAAAAUCUCCCAAACUGCUCUGUCUGAAAGGAUCUUUUAGCAUCUCUUGAACUCUAACCUCUUUAGCUGGAAAAAAAAAAAAAAAAAAGAAAGAGAUCUGCUAAAAUUGUGACCUUUCACUGCUGGAGUGAUUUGAAAGCCUUGGCCUCACAGUCAGUUUCCAUGUUCUGUCUUUACUGCUACUGGUGAACCACAUUACAGUGUGAGACUGCUGUCCAGGCACACACAGCACAGCCUCUGCUUCAAGGGACUUGCAAUAAACUAUUUUGUUUACUGAUAAGUGCACAGAUGAUAUUACUUGCUCCAGGGUAUUCAUCUGGUCAAUGAAGAAGCUGUGUAACUGUUCUGCCCAACUGUUAAUCGUUUUGUUCUCUCACAAAAUGGAAUAUGAUAAAAAUAAAAUCUUUAUUUGAUCUUUCCAGGGAAAAGAUCCCCUUAAUUGCAAGUUUCCAGACUGGUGAUGAAGACAUAGCUUGUUCUGUUCCAAAUCCUUCAUCAACCAUAUAUCUUUAACUCAUUCUCUCCUUACCAGACACUUACAGGCUGUAGGUUGUGGGUGAUAAUAAGCUUUAUGCUUACUUGCUAAUGUUCCUUGUUUUGUCUGAUUACUGUUUCUGAGACCUCUUUCUUCUAGUUCCAAAGAAACUGUUUGCCAUCUUAUUUGCAUAAUUCUGUUUUAAUCUUUCCCCUUGGUUAAUAUUCUCUUCCUUGAUAAAGCUCUGCUUCACCUAAAAGAUUUCUGUCCACAAAGGUGAAACAAGUCUGUAAGUUAAUAUGGAUUUUCACUCAGCCACCCCCUCUCUCAUAGCCUGGAUUUUUACCCCAAUCUAAACAGGGUGAACCACCAAUUUUAUUCCCUACAAUUUCAAAAGAAGAAGAAAAUGUCUUUUUAAUUUUAUUUUUUUGUAUUAGACAAAUUUACAAGAAUAGAUUGAUUUUUGUUUCUUGAAGGGCAUCAUGUGCUUUACAGGAUAUUGAGAAAUCCCAACUCCAGCCAUGUGAAGGAUAAACCUACUGGUGCCUCAGGCAAUGCAAGUAAAGGACUUGCCAAACUCAAAUGUUUAUUCUUUUGGGAAUUUUUCCUAAGCACUGUAAUUUCACAAGAUGAUUCAGUUGCCCCAUGGCUUAUUUAUAAAACGUUAAAGUGUUAAAUACAAUUAGUAUAAGCAUCCUAAUCUCUCUAGAGACUCUUUGCUUAUAGUAUUGCUUGGAGCUUGUGUAAAAUAGUCUGGAAUAUUUAAUAUUUUCUGGUUUUGUUUGUUUUUGUUUUCUGAGCCUGAAUGAAAAAGGAAAUUUCAAAGACAAAGUAUUUUCUUGUUCUUUCAGGCUACUACAUUCUGCUGGUGAAGCUGAAAUAAACUGGCUCUGUCCUGGAGCAAUGAUGCAGUUUGGG
This is a non-coding RNA of Zonotrichia albicollis (white-throated sparrow), 1610 nucleotides long. NCBI's taxonomy places the organism in Eukaryota, Metazoa, Chordata, Aves, Passeriformes, Passerellidae. The record is from RefSeq and is a predicted model, not a curated record.